RNAcentral lists this ribosomal RNA (406 nucleotides) under uncultured bacterium. Its description in RNAcentral is "partial 16S ribosomal RNA". It matches the Rfam family "Bacterial small subunit ribosomal RNA", at positions 30 to 526 of the family's 1533-position model. The record is from RNAcentral.
AUUGAACGCUGGCGGCAAGCAUAACACAUGCAAGUCGAACGAGUGGCGGACGGGUGAGUAAUGACUGGGAAACUGCCUGAUGGAGGGGGAUAACUACUGGAAACGGUAGCUAAUACCGCAUACCAUCGGAUGUGCCCAGAUGGGAUUAGCUAGUAGGAGGGGUAAAGGCUAACCUAGGCGACGAUCCCUAGCUGGUCUGAGCGGUUGACCAGCCACACUGGAACUUAGACACGGUCCAGACUCCUACGGGAUGCAGCAGUGGGGAAUAUUGCACAAUGGGCGCAAGCCUUAUGCAGCCAUGCCUCGUGUAUGAAGAAGGCCUUCGGGUUGUAAAGUACUUUCAGCGGGGAGGCGUUACCCGCAGAAGAAGCACCUGCUAACUCCGUGCCAGCAGCCGCGGUAAUUC